Molecule: small nuclear RNA, 106 nt
Filed under: Dasypus novemcinctus (nine-banded armadillo)
Lineage: Eukaryota; Metazoa; Chordata; Mammalia; Cingulata; Dasypodidae
Source: RNAcentral
GUGCUCACUUCGGCAGCACAUAUACUAAAAUUGGAAUGAUACAGAAAAGAUUAGCAUGACCCUGCUCAAGGAUGACACGUAAAUUCAUGAAGUGUUCCAUAUUUUU